Molecule: ribosomal RNA, 820 nt
Filed under: uncultured Geobacter sp.
Lineage: Bacteria; Pseudomonadati; Thermodesulfobacteriota; Desulfuromonadia; Geobacterales; Geobacteraceae
Description: bacterial SSU rRNA
Rfam family: Bacterial small subunit ribosomal RNA
Source: RNAcentral
CUUUGCGGCUGCUACCAUGCAAGUCGAACGUGAUCCGCCCUUCGGGGUGGUGAAAGUGGCGCACGGGUGAGUAACGCGUGGAUAAUCUGCCCGAGGAUUUGGGAUAACAUCUCGAAAGGGGUGCUAAUACCGAAUAAGCCCACGGGGUCUACGGAUCUUGCGGGAAAAGGGGGGGACCUUCGGGCCUCCUGUCCUUGGAUGAGUCUGCGUACCAUUAGCUAGUUGGUGGGGUAAUGGCCUACCAAGGCGACGAUGGUUAGCUGGUCUGAGAGGAUGAUCAGCCACACUGGAACUGAGACACGGUCCAGACUCCUACGGGAGGCAGCAGUGGGGAAUUUUGCGCAAUGGGGGAAACCCUGACGCAGCAACGCCGCGUGGGUGAUGAAGGCCUUCGGGUCGUAAAGCUCUGUCUGGAGGGAAGAAAUGAUUGGGAGCUAAUACCUCUUGAUCUUGACGGUACCUCUGAAGGAAGCACCGGCUAACUCCGUGCCAGCAGCCGCGGUAAUACGGAGGGUGCAAGCGUUGUUCGGAAUUAUUGGGCGUAAAGCGCGUGUAGGCGGUCUUUUAAGUCUGAUGUGAAAGCCCCGGGCUCAACCUGGGAAGUGCAUUGGAAACUGGGAGGCUUGAGUACGGGAGAGGAGAGUGGAAUUCCUAGUGUAGGAGUGAAAUCCGUAGAUAUUAGGAGGAACACCGGUGGCGAAGGCGGCUCUCUGGACCGAUACUGACGCUGAGACGCGAAAGCGUGGGUAGCAAACAGGAUUAGAUACCCUGGUAGUCCACGCCGUAAACGAUGAGUACUAGUGUUGCGGGUAUUGACCCC